AGAUUAAGUUAUUAAGGGCGCACGGUGGAUGCCUUGGCACUAGAAGCCGAUGAAGGACGUUACUAACGACGAUAUGCUUUGGGUAGCUGUAAGUAAGCGUUGAUCCAGAGAUUUCCGAAUGGGGGAACCCAGCAUGAGUUAUGUCAUGUUAUCGACAUGUGAAUUCAUAGCAUGUCAGAAGGCAGACCCGGAGAACUGAAACAUCUUAGUACCCGGAGGAAGAGAAAGAAAAAUCGAUUCCCUGAGUAGCGGCGAGCGAAACGGGAAGAGCCCAAACCAACAAGCUUGCUUGUUGGGGUUGUAGGACACUCUAUACGGAGUUACAAAAGAACAUGUUAGACGAAUCAUCUGGAAAGAUGAAUCAAAGAAGGUAAUAAUCCUGUAGUCGAAAACAUAUUCUCUCUUGAGUGGAUCCUGAGUACGACGGAGCACGUGAAAUUCCGUCGGAAUCUGGGAGGACCAUCUCCUAAGGCUAAAUACUCUCUAGUGACCGAUAGUGAACCAGUACCGUGAGGGAAAGGUGAAAAGUACCCCGGAAGGGGAGUGAAAGAGAACUUGAAACCGUGUGCUUACAAGUAGUCAGAGCCCGUUAAUGGGUGAUGGCGUGCCUUUUGUAGAAUGAACCGGCGAGUUACGAUCUGAUGCAAGGUUAAGCAGCAAAUGUGGAGCCGCAGCGAAAGCGAGUCUGAAUAGGGCGUUGAGUAUUUGGUCGUAGACCCGAAACCAGGUGAUCUACCCUUGGUCAGGUUGAAGUUCAGGUAACACUGAAUGGAGGACCGAACCGACUUACGUUGAAAAGUGAGCGGAUGAACUGAGGGUAGCGGAGAAAUUCCAAUCGAACUUGGAGAUAGCUGGUUCUCUCCGAAAUAGCUUUAGGGCUAGCCUCAAGUGAUGAUUAUUGGAGGUAGAGCACUGUUUGGACGAGGGGCCCCUCUCGGGUUACCGAAUUCAGACAAACUCCGAAUGCCAAUUAAUUUAACUUGGGAGUCAGAACAUGGGUGAUAAGGUCCGUGUUCGAAAGGGAAACAGCCCAGACCACCAGCUAAGGUCCCAAAAUAUAUGUUAAGUGGAAAAGGAUGUGGCGUUGCCCAGACAACUAGGAUGUUGGCUUAGAAGCAGCCAUCAUUUAAAGAGUGCGUAAUAGCUCACUAGUCGAGUGACACUGCGCCGAAAAUGUACCGGGGCUAAACAUAUUACCGAAGCUGUGGAUUGUCCUUUGGACAAUGGUAGGAGAGCGUUCUAAGGGCGUCGAAGCAUGAUCGCAAGGACAUGUGGAGCGCUUAGAAGUGAGAAUGCCGGUGUGAGUAGCGAAAGACGGGUGAGAAUCCCGUCCACCGAUUGACUAAGGUUUCCAGAGGAAGGCUCGUCCGCUCUGGGUUAGUCGGGUCCUAAGCUGAGGCCGACAGGCGUAGGCGAUGGAUAACAGGUUGAUAUUCCUGUACCACCUAGUAUCGUUUUAAUCGAUGGGGGGACGCAGUAGGAUAGGCGAAGCGUGCUGUUGGAGUGCACGUCCAAGCAGUAAGGCUGAGUGUUAGGCAAAUCCGGCACUCAUAAGGCUGAGCUGUGAUGGGGAGAGGAAAUUGUUUCCUCGAGUCGUUGAUUUCACACUGCCGAGAAAAGCCUCUAGAUAGAUAACAGGUGCCCGUACCGCAAACCGACACAGGUAGUCAAGAUGAGAAUUCUAAGGUGAGCGAGCGAACUCUCGUUAAGGAACUCGGCAAAAUGACCCCGUAACUUCGGGAGAAGGGGUGCUCUUUAGGGUUCACGCCCAGAAGAGCCGCAGUGAAUAGGCCCAAGCGACUGUUUAUCAAAAACACAGGUCUCUGCUAAACCGUAAGGUGAUGUAUAGGGGCUGACGCCUGCCCGGUGCUGGAAGGUUAAGAGGAGUGGUUAGCUUCUGCGAAGCUACGAAUCGAAGCCCCAGUAAACGGCGGCCGUAACUAUAACGGUCCUAAGGUAGCGAAAUUCCUUGUCGGGUAAGUUCCGACCCGCACGAAAGGCGUAACGAUUUGGGCACUGUCUCAACGAGAGACUCGGUGAAAUCAUAGUACCUGUGAAGAUGCAGGUUACCCGCGACAGGACGGAAAGACCCCGUGGAGCUUUACUGUAGCCUGAUAUUGAAAUUCGGCACAGCUUGUACAGGAUAGGUAGGAGCCUUUGAAACGUGAGCGCUAGCUUACGUGGAGGCGUUGGUGGGAUACUACCCUAGCUGUGUUGGCUUUCUAACCCGCACCACUUAUCGUGGUGGGAGACAGUGUCAGGCGGGCAGUUUGACUGGGGCGGUCGCCUCCUAAAAGGUAACGGAGGCGCUCAAAGGUUCCCUCAGAAUGGUUGGAAAUCAUUCAUAGAGUGUAAAGGCAUAAGGGAGCUUGACUGCGAGACCUACAAGUCGAGCAGGGUCGAAAGACGGACUUAGUGAUCCGGUGGUUCCGCAUGGAAGGGCCAUCGCUCAACGGAUAAAAGCUACCCCGGGGAUAACAGGCUUAUCUCCCCCAAGAGUUCACAUCGACGGGGAGGUUUGGCACCUCGAUGUCGGCUCAUCGCAUCCUGGGGCUGUAGUCGGUCCCAAGGGUUGGGCUGUUCGCCCAUUAAAGCGGUACGCGAGCUGGGUUCAGAACGUCGUGAGACAGUUCGGUCCCUAUCCGUCGUGGGCGUAGGAAAUUUGAGAGGAGCUGUCCUUAGUACGAGAGGACCGGGAUGGACAUACCUCUGGUGUACCAGUUGUCGUGCCAACGGCAUAGCUGGGUAGCUAUGUAUGGACGGGAUAAGUGCUGAAAGCAUCUAAGCAUGAAGCCCCCCUCAAGAUGAGAUUUCCCAACUUCGGUUAUAAGAUCCCUCGAAGAUGACGAGGUUAAUAGGUUCGAGGUGGAAGCGUGGUGACACGUGGAGCUGACGAAUACUAAUCGAUCGAAGACUUAAUCAAUUUUUUAAA
Molecule: ribosomal RNA, 2932 nt
Filed under: Staphylococcus epidermidis
Lineage: Bacteria; Bacillati; Bacillota; Bacilli; Caryophanales; Staphylococcaceae
Also listed under: 2 other names
Description: bacterial LSU rRNA
Rfam family: Bacterial large subunit ribosomal RNA
Source: RNAcentral